ACACUCCAGGAGAACUGUUUUCAGUCCUGAAGCACAGCAGCUUGGAGAAAGGAUAGUGAACUGCCUCUCUUGAAGAGACACCCUGGCUCCAUGAGUGGGUGACGGAUGGACCGUAAUAAAAGGAGCAGAUGGAUUCACAUCUCAACAAAAUGAGAGAAGAUACAGAUGUACCUUGAGGAGUGUUGACAGCUGCUGUGACUCAUUUCCAUAAUCCUCCUCAUUACAAUUAUUGCAGGAUUACUAUUUUGAAUUAAUUUAUUCCAGAUUAUGCCCCAGAAGGCCUUAUUUGGUUUUAUGGACUCAAGCUAAAAAGAGAGUCUUAAGAAACAGUUUUUUUUUCAUCAGGCCAAGCUGCAUUUCUACCAAGCUGGAACAUCCAAGAACUUUAGUGAACUCAGACACUGCCCCUGUGUAAUCUGGAAAAGCUGCUUCUCUUCUGGGAUCACCCAGCUCCAGCCUAGCAAGAAAAUUACUGCCUGUUUUAUUUGUGAAAAAGAAAUGGACUCUUCUAAUGGUGAUCAUAGAAAUUUUCUUCAAGAAAAGCAUUGAUUUGGACUUGCAAUGAUUUUAUCAUUGACCCAGUAACUCCGGGAGUACAAGGCCUCGGGGAGGAAAUCCAGAAUCAGUAAAGAAAGGGACCAACUUUUGAUUUAAGAAGCCUAGAAUGACCAUACCGUGUGGAAUAUUACACCUGUAAAAUGCAAUGUCCUUCCCUUGAUAAACCUCAUCAUCUACAAAUUUGACAUUAUUUGUAUCAAAUACAUUAAGGCAGAAAAUAAAACCUCGCCAAGUUUAUGAGCCAAGAAAUAGCUGAAUUAUAAUGCCUGGAACUUCAAAGAGAAAGAGGAGUGAAUGAGCUAAACACUGAAGUCUAAGGAAAGUCUUGGAGGUUUCCAGAAAGCAUGUGGGUUGUGCCACCAGAAAAAAAGGAUGAAAUGUCUGACUUUACAAUAAUCAUGAAUGGGAUCCUGGGCCCAAUUUUCAGCGCUACAGAAAAACACAGCACAACAAAAGAAAAACCAUGAAACUCAUGAGAUGGUUAUGGAAUAUCAUGGCCCUUCCCUUUCGUUCAGUAAGACCUCUUAAGAGUUCAGUCAUAGCCUUUGCUCAACCCAGUUUAAGUCAUCAGGACCUCCUCUUCCUCCCUUCCUUCCCUCCUUCCUUCCUUGAUUCCUUUCUCUUUCUUUCUUCCUUCCUUUCUUUCCUUUUUUCUUUCUCCUUUCAAGUUUAUUUAUUGACAUUUUUAUUUUAUUCUUGAGAUUAUAAUUAUUUUUCCACUUCCCUUUCUUUCCUCUAGACUCUCCUAUGUAUCCCUCCAUGCUCUCUUUCAAAUUCAUGGCUUCCUUUUUUUUUUCAUUACUUGUCUCGUUACAUGUAUGUAUGCAUAUGUAUAUACAUGUAUAUUCCAAAAUAUA
Molecule: long non-coding RNA, 1415 nt
Organism: Peromyscus eremicus (cactus mouse)
Lineage: Eukaryota; Metazoa; Chordata; Mammalia; Rodentia; Cricetidae
Exons: 6
Source: RefSeq, a predicted model, not a curated record